CAGCCGCCACGGGAAUACGUAGGGUGCGAGCGUUAAUCGGAAUUACUGGGCGUAAAGCGUGCGCAGGCGGUUUUGUAAGACAGGCGUGAAAUCCCCGGGCUCAACCUGGGAAUGGCGCUUGUGACUGCAAAGCUAGAGUGCGGCAGAGGGGGAUGGAAUUCCGCGUGUAGCAGUGAAAUGCGUAGAUAUGCGGAGGAACACCGAUGGCGAAGGCAAUCCCCUGGGCCUGCACUGACGCUCAUGCACGAAAGCGUGGGGAGCAAACAGGAUUAGAUACCCCUGUAGUCCCUGUCUCUUAUAA
Molecule: ribosomal RNA, 301 nt
Filed under: uncultured bacterium
Lineage: Bacteria
Description: partial 16S ribosomal RNA
Rfam family: Bacterial small subunit ribosomal RNA
Source: RNAcentral